Molecule: ribosomal RNA, 497 nt
Filed under: uncultured bacterium
Lineage: Bacteria
Description: partial 16S ribosomal RNA
Rfam family: Bacterial small subunit ribosomal RNA
Source: RNAcentral
GAUGAACGCUGGCGGCGUGCCUAAUACAUGCAAGUCGAGCGAACGGACGAGAAGCUUGCUUCUCUGAUGUUAGCGGCGGACGGGUGAGUAACACGUGGAUAACCUACCUAUAAUACUGGGAUAACUUCGGGAAACCGGAGCUAAUACCGGAUAAUAUUUUGAACCGCAUGGUUCAAAAGUGAAAGACGGUCUUGCUGUCACUUAUAGAUGGAUCCGCGCUGCAUUAGCUAGUUGGUAAGGUAACGGCUUACCAAGGCAACGAUGCAUAGCCGACCUGAGAGGGUGAUCGGCCACACUGGAACUGAGACACGGUCCAGACCCCUACGGGAGGCAGCAGUAGGGAAUUUUCGGCAAUGGGCGAAAGCCUGACGGAGCAACGCCGCGUGAGUGAUGAAGGUCUUCGGAUCGUAAAACUCUGUUAUUAGGGAAGAACAUAUGUGUAAGUAACUGUGCACAUCUUGACGGUACCUAAUCAGAAAGCCACGGCUAACUACGUG